This 490-nucleotide ribosomal RNA is filed under the name uncultured bacterium. Its description in RNAcentral is "partial 16S ribosomal RNA". It matches the Rfam family "Bacterial small subunit ribosomal RNA", at positions 30 to 507 of the family's 1533-position model. The record is from RNAcentral.
AUUGAACGCUGGCGGCAGGCCUAACACAUGCCAGUCGAACGGUAACAGGAAACAGCUUGCUGUUUCGCUGACGAGUGGCGGACGGGUGAGUAAUGUCUGGGAAACUGCCUGAUGGAGGGGGAUAACUACUGGAAACGGUAGCUAAUACCGCAUAACGUCGCAAGACCAAAGAGGGGGACCUUCGGGCCUCUUGCCAUCGGAUGUGCCCAGAUGGGAUUAGCUAGUAGGUGGGGUAACGGCUCACCUAGGCGACGAUCCCUAGCUGGUCUGAGAGGAUGACCAGCCACACUGGAACUGAGACACGGUCCAGACUCCUACGGGAGGCAGCAGUGGGGAAUAUUGCACAAUGGGCGCAAGCCUGAUGCAGCCAUGCCGCGUGUAUGAAGAAGGCCUUCGGGUUGUAAAGUACUUUCAGCGGGGAGGAAGGGAGUAAAGUUAAUACCUUGGCUCAUUGACGUUACCCGCAGAAGAAGCACCGGCUAACUCCGUG